CCUACGGGCGGCUGCAGUGGGGAAUUUUGGACAAUGGGGGCAACCCUGAUCCAGCCAUUCCGCGUGAGUGAAGAAGGCCUUCGGGUUGUAAAGCUCUUUUGUCCGGAGCGAAACGGGCGGCCCUAAUACGGUCGUCUACUGACGGUACCGGAAGAAUAAGCACCGGCUAACUACGUGCCAGCAGCCGCGGUAAUACGUAGGGUGCGAGCGGUGCUCGGAAUUACUGGGCGUAAUUUUUUCGCAGGCGGGUGAAAUCCCCGGGCUCAACCUGGGAAUGGCAUUUGGGACUGCAAGGCUGGAGUGUGGCAGAGGGGACUAGAAUUCCUGGUGUAGCAGUGAAAUGCGUAGAUAUCAGGAGGAAUACCGAUGGCGAAGGCAGGUCCCUGGGAUAACACUGACGCUCAUGCACGAAAGCGUGGGGAGCAAACAGGAUUAGAUACCCCAGUAGUC
This 450-nucleotide ribosomal RNA is filed under the name uncultured bacterium. Its description in RNAcentral is "partial 16S ribosomal RNA". It matches the Rfam family "Bacterial small subunit ribosomal RNA", at positions 338 to 795 of the family's 1533-position model. The record is from RNAcentral.